This 424-nucleotide ribosomal RNA is filed under the name Klebsiella pneumoniae. RNAcentral's name for it is "bacterial SSU rRNA". It matches the Rfam family "Bacterial small subunit ribosomal RNA", at positions 347 to 787 of the family's 1533-position model. The record is from RNAcentral. Lineage: Bacteria; Pseudomonadati; Pseudomonadota; Gammaproteobacteria; Enterobacterales; Enterobacteriaceae.
GGCUGCAGUGGGGAAUAUUGCACAAUGGGGGAAACCCUGAUGCAGCGACGCCGCGUGAGUGAAGAAGUAUUUCGGUAUGUAAAGCUCUAUCAGCAGGAACGAGACAAGACGGUACCUGACUAAGAAGCCCCGGCUAACUACGUGCCAGCAGCCGCGGUAAUACGUAGGGGGCAAGCGUUAUCCGGAAUCACUGGGUGUAAAGGGAGCGUAGACGGCUGAGCAAGCCUGAAGUGAAAGGCGGGGGCCCAACCCCUGGACUGCUUUGGGAACUGUACGGCUGGAGUGCAGGAGAGGUAAGUGGAAUUCCUAGUGUAGCGGUGAAAUGCGUAGAUAUUAGGAGGAACACCAGUGGCGAAGGCGGCUUACUGGACUGUAACUGACGUUGAGGCUCGAAAGCGUGGGGAGCAAACAGGAUUAGAUACCC